UCUUCGGGAUCUGAGUAGAGCGGCGCACGGGUGAGUAACGCGUAUGUGAUCUACCCUUUGGAUUGGGAUAACAGUUGGAAACGGCUGCUAAUACCGGAUACACUCCAUAUUUAGCUUUAUGGGGAAAAGGUGGCCUCUGCAUGCAAGCUACCACCAAAGGAUGAACCUGCGUCUCAUUAGCUUGUUGGUGGGGUAAUGGCCUACCAAUGCGACGAUGAGCAGCUGGUCUGAGAGGAUGAUCAGCCACACUGGGACUGGAACACGGCCCAGACUCCUACGGGAGGCAGCAGUGGGGAAUAUUGCGCAAUGGGCGAAAGCCUGACGCAGCGACGCCGCGUGAGGGAAGAAGGCUCUCGGGUCGUAAACCUCUGUCAGAAGGGAAGAAACCCUUGAGGUCGAAUAGGCCUCUUGGCUGACGGUACCUUCAGAGGAAGCACCCGGCUAAUUCCGUGCCAGCAAGCCGCGGUAAUACGGAAGGUGCAAGCGUUAAUCGGAAUUACUGGGCGUAAAGCGCGCGUAGGCGGCGCGGCCAGUCAGAUGUGAAAGCCCUCGGCUCAACCGGGGAAUUGCCUUUGAUACUGCCGUGCUUGAGUACUGGAGAGGCAGGCGGAAUUCCAGGUGUAGGAGUGAACUCCGUAGAUAUCUGGAGGAACACCAGUGGCGAAGGCGGACUGCUGGACAGAUACUGA
This 689-nucleotide ribosomal RNA is filed under the name uncultured organism. Its description in RNAcentral is "bacterial SSU rRNA". It matches the Rfam family "Bacterial small subunit ribosomal RNA", at positions 77 to 743 of the family's 1533-position model. The record is from RNAcentral.